RNAcentral lists this unclassified non-coding RNA (337 nucleotides) under soil metagenome. Its description in RNAcentral is "partial contains 5.8S ribosomal RNA, internal transcribed spacer 2, and large subunit ribosomal RNA". The stretch from base 1 to 120 matches the Rfam family "5.8S ribosomal RNA", at positions 35 to 154 of the family's 154-position model. The record is from RNAcentral.
GAUGAAGAACGUAGCGAAAUGCGAUAAGUAGUGUGAAUUGCAGAAUUCAGUGAAUCAUCGAAUCUUUGAACGCACAUUGCGCCCCUUGGUAUUCCAUGGGGCAUGCCUGUUCGAGCGUCAUUUGUACCCUCAAGCUUUGCUUGGUGUUGGGUGUUUGUCCCGCGUUGCGCGUGGACUCGCCUUAAAGCGAUUGGUAGCCGGCAUAUUGGCCUUGGAGCGCAGCACAUUUUGCGCUUCUAGUCAUGAAUGUUGGCGUCCAUUAAGCCUAUACAUUUGCUCUUGACCUCGGAUCAGGUAGGGAUACCCGCUGAACUUAAGCAUAUCAAUAAGCGGAGGA